This 589-nucleotide ribosomal RNA is filed under the name Schwanniomyces pseudopolymorphus. Its description in RNAcentral is "eukaryotic LSU rRNA". It matches the Rfam family "Eukaryotic large subunit ribosomal RNA", at positions 62 to 667 of the family's 3401-position model. Lineage: Eukaryota; Fungi; Ascomycota; Pichiomycetes; Serinales; Debaryomycetaceae. The record is from RNAcentral.
AAACCAACAGGGAUUCCCUCAGUAACGGCGAGUGAAGCGGCAAAAGCUCAAAUUUGAAAUCUGGCACCUUCGGUGUCCGAGUUGUAAUUUGAAGAAGGUAACUUUGGAGUUGGCUCUUGUCUAUGUUCCUUGGAACAGGACGUCACAGAGGGUGAGAAUCCCGUGCGAUGAGAUGUCCAACUCUAUGUAAAGUGCUUUCGAAGAGUCGAGUUGUUUGGGAAUGCAGCUCUAAGUGGGUGGUAAAUUCCAUCUAAAGCUAAAUAUUGGCGAGAGACCGAUAGCGAACAAGUACAGUGAUGGAAAGAUGAAAAGAACUUUGAAAAGAGAGUGAAAAAGUACGUGAAAUUGUUGAAAGGGAAGGGCUUGAGAUCAGACUUGGUAUUUUGCAAGCCUUACCUUCGUGGUGGGGUCCCCUGCAGUUUACUGGGCCAGCAUCGGUUUGGAUGGUAGGAUAAUGACUUGGGAAUGUGGCUUUGCUUCGGUAAAGUGUUAUAGCCCUUGUUGAUACUACCUGUCUAGACCGAGGACUGCGUCUUUGACUAGGAUGCUGGCAUAAUGAUCUUAAGUCGCCCGUCUUGAAACACGGACC